CCCUUAGAUGUUCUGGGCAGCACGCGCGCUACAAUGGUCUUCGCAAACAGAUGCAUUCUCGAAGGAGAAUGCCAAUCUUGGAAUCUAUGCCUUGGUCGGGACAGUUGCUUGCAAUUUUUCGACUCGAACCAGGAAUUCCUUGUAAUCGUGAUUCAUCACACCACGAUGAAUACGUCCCUGCCCUUUGUACACACCGCCCGUCGCUCCUACCGAUCGAAGAGCUAGGUGAAUUGUUUUGAUCGAUAAGAUUUGACUAUGGUCAACUCUCGUUGUGAAAUUCUGUGAAUCUGACUGUUUAGAGGAAGGAAAAGUCGUAACA
This 319-nucleotide ribosomal RNA is filed under the name uncultured eukaryote. Its description in RNAcentral is "partial 18S ribosomal RNA". It matches the Rfam family "Eukaryotic small subunit ribosomal RNA", at positions 1470 to 1796 of the family's 1831-position model. The record is from RNAcentral.